This 463-nucleotide ribosomal RNA is filed under the name uncultured Mesorhizobium sp. RNAcentral describes it as "bacterial SSU rRNA". It matches the Rfam family "Bacterial small subunit ribosomal RNA", at positions 925 to 1382 of the family's 1533-position model. The record is from RNAcentral. Lineage: Bacteria; Pseudomonadati; Pseudomonadota; Alphaproteobacteria; Hyphomicrobiales; Phyllobacteriaceae.
ACAAGCGGUGGAGCAUGUGUUUAAUUCGAAGCAACGCGCAGAACCUUACCAGCCCUUGACAUCCCGGUCGCCGGUUUCCAGAGAUGGAUUCCUUCAGUUUCGGCUGGACCGGUGACAGGUGCUGCAUGGCUGUCGUCAGCUCGUGUCGUGAGAUGUUGGGUUAAGUCCCGCAACGAGCGCAACCCUCGCCCUUAGUUGCCAUCAUUCAGUUGGGCACUCUAAGGGGACUGCCGGUGAUAAGCCGAGAGGAAGGUGGGGAUGACGUCAAGUCCUCAUGGCCCUUACGGGCUGGGCUACACACGUGCUACAAUGGCCGGCACAGCGGGAAGCGAGGCAGUGAUGCCAAGCGGAUCCCUUAAAGCCGGUCUCAGUUCGGAUUGAAGUCUGCAACUCGACUUCAUGAAGCUGGAAUCGCUAGUAAUCGCAGAUCAGCCAAGCUGCGGUGAAUACGUUCCCGGGCCUU